This 325-nucleotide small RNA is filed under the name Histoplasma capsulatum. Its description in RNAcentral is "hypothetical RNA". Lineage: Eukaryota; Fungi; Ascomycota; Eurotiomycetes; Onygenales; Ajellomycetaceae. RNAcentral also lists the same sequence under 1 other name. The record is from RNAcentral.
GCAAAGAUUUUAGGUAACUGACACUCGUACUUCACAUUUUCUUCCACUCUUACUCCAAGUAGGGGUGAAAUGGUCUGACCACAAAUUAGCGCACGGAAGAGUGGUUUCAGGGAUUUUCGUGUUUUCACCUGCGAAAAGGGAUCUAGAUUCAGCCAAUGCAUUCGGAUCAAUGAUAGGAUGACUACAGGUUUCCCCAGCAUAAUGAUUGUUAUCACUCUUCUGGGAAAGUUAGGUCUCAGGAGCGAUACCUGGCACAGUCCGGUCGACGGUCAUGCGCAACCAUGCUAAGCAUUGCGUGAAGGAGCUAAUCCUGCCUGAAGAGGGA